AAAUUGAAGAGUUUGAUCAUGGCUCAGAUUGAACGCUGGCGGCAGGCCUAACACAUGCAAGUCGAGCGGAAACGAGUUAUCWGAACCUUCGGGGGRCGAUAACGGCGUCGAGCGGCGGACGGGUGAGUAAUGCCUAGGAAAUUGCCCUGAUGUGGGGGAUAACCAUUGGAAACGAUGGCUAAUACCGCAUGAUGCCUACGGGCCAAAGAGGGGGACCUUCGGGCCUCUCGCGUCAGGAUAUGCCUAGGUGGGAUUAGCUAGUUGGUGAGGUAAGGGCUCACCAAGGCGACGAUCCCUAGCUGGUCUGAGAGGAUGAUCAGCCAC
RNAcentral lists this ribosomal RNA (324 nucleotides) under Vibrio parahaemolyticus. Its description in RNAcentral is "bacterial SSU rRNA". Lineage: Bacteria; Pseudomonadati; Pseudomonadota; Gammaproteobacteria; Vibrionales; Vibrionaceae. The record is from RNAcentral.